Molecule: unclassified non-coding RNA, 502 nt
Filed under: uncultured Acaulospora
Lineage: Eukaryota; Fungi; Glomeromycota; Glomeromycetes; Diversisporales; Acaulosporaceae
Description: SSU rRNA
Rfam family: Eukaryotic small subunit ribosomal RNA
Source: RNAcentral
CCAAUAGCGUAUAUUAAAGUUGUUGCAGUUAAAAAGCUCGUAGUUGAAUUUCGGAGUUUGUCGGUUGGUCGGGCUUCACUGUCCGCACUGGCCUGAUGGAUUCCUACCUUCUGAAUAACCAGCAUGCUAUUAAGUUAGUGCGUUGGGGAAGCAGAGCUAUUACCUUGAAAAAAUUAGAGUGCUUAAAGCAGGCUUAUGCUUGAAUAGAUUAGCAUGGAAUAAUAAAAUAGGACGGCAUGGUUCUAUUUUGUUGGUUUCUAGGAUCACCGUAAUGAUUAAUAGGGAUAGUUGGGGGCAGUAGUAGUCAAUUGUCAGAGGUGAAAUUCUUGGAUUUAUUGAAGACUAACUGCUGCGAAAGCAUUUGCCAAGGAUGUUUUCAUUAAUCAAGAACGAAAGUUAGGGGAUCGAAGACGAUCAGAUACCGUCGUAGUCUUAACCAUAAACUAUGCCGACUAGGGAUCGGACGAUGUUAAUUUUUUAAUGACUCGUUCGGCGCCUUACG